UGUGUGUGUGUAUGCGUGUGUGUGUGUGUGUGUAUACACACACACACACACACACACAAACACACACACACC
This is a non-coding RNA of Podarcis lilfordi (Lilford's wall lizard), 72 nucleotides long. Lineage: Eukaryota; Metazoa; Chordata; Lepidosauria; Squamata; Lacertidae. The record is from the annotation of a GenBank genome assembly.